GUGCAGCAGGCGCGAAACCUCCGCAAUGCGCGCAAGCGCGACGGGGCCAUCCCGAGUGCCGCUCGCUGAGGGCGGCUUUUCUCCGGUGUAAGUAGCCGGAGGAAUAAGGAGAGGGCAAGUCUGGUGUCAGCCGCCGCGGUAAUACCAGCUCUCCGAGUGGUAGGGACGAUUAUUGGGCCUAAAGCGUCCGUAGCCGGCUUGACAAGUCUCCCGUUAAAUCCAGCGGCCUAACCGCUGGGCUGCGGGAGAUACUGUCAAGCUUGGGGCGGGAGAGGCCAGCGGUAUUCCCGGGGUAGGGGUGAAAUCCGUUAAUCCCGGGAGGACCACCAGUGGCGAAGGCGGCCGGCCAGAACGCGCCCGACGGUGAGGGACGAAAGCUGGGGGAGCGAACCGGAUUAGAUACCCCUGUAGU
This 412-nucleotide ribosomal RNA is filed under the name uncultured microorganism. RNAcentral's name for it is "bacterial SSU rRNA". It matches the Rfam family "Archaeal small subunit ribosomal RNA", at positions 330 to 745 of the family's 1478-position model. The record is from RNAcentral.